UCGCCGCGGUAAUACCAGCUCCCCGAGUGGUAAGGAUAAUUAUUGGGGCCUAAAGCGUCCGUAGCUGGCUUAACAAGUCUUCUGUUAAAUCCAACGAUUCCAUCGUUGGACUGCAGGAGAUACUGUUGAGCUAGGGGGGCGGAAGAAGCCGACGGUACUCCUGAGGUAGGGGUGAAAUCCUAUAAUCUCAGGAGGACCACCAGUGGCGAAGGC
This 213-nucleotide ribosomal RNA is filed under the name uncultured archaeon. Its description in RNAcentral is "partial 16S ribosomal RNA". It matches the Rfam family "Archaeal small subunit ribosomal RNA", at positions 462 to 673 of the family's 1478-position model. The record is from RNAcentral.